UUUCCGUAGGUGAACCUGCGGAAGGAUCAUUACCGAGUUAGGGUCUCCUCCGUGCGGCCCGACCUCCCAACCCCGUGUCUAAUAAACCUGUUUGUGUUGCUUCGGCGGAACGGCAGUCGUCCCUUCGGGGUCUACCGUCGCCGGGGGGCUUUCACGGUCUCACGACCGUGCCCCUGGAGAGCGUCCGCCGAUGGCCCAAUCAAAACUACUGAACCCAAACCAUGAACUAAAUAUUUUCUGAAUCAGACUUUUGAUAUACCAAUCAAAAACAAAACUUUCAACAACGGAUCUCUUGGUUCUG
This 301-nucleotide unclassified non-coding RNA is filed under the name plant metagenome. Its description in RNAcentral is "partial contains small subunit ribosomal RNA, internal transcribed spacer 1, and 5.8S ribosomal RNA". The record is from RNAcentral.